AGCGUACACGGUGGAUGCCCUGGCAGUCAGAGGCGAUGAAGGACGUGCUAAUCUGCGAUAAGCGUCGGUAAGGUGAUAUGAACCGUUAUAACCGGCGAUUUCCGAAUGGGGAAACCCAGUGUGAUUCGUCACACUAUCAUUAACUGAAUCCAUAGGUUAAUGAGGCGAACCGGGGGAACUGAAACAUCUAAGUACCCCGAGGAAAAGAAAUCAACCGAGAUUCCCCCAGUAGCGGCGAGCGAACGGGGAGCAGCCCAGAGCCUGAAUCAGUGUGUGUGUUAGUGGAAGCGUCUGGAAAGGCGCGCGAUACAGGGUGACAGCCCCGUACACAAAAAUGCACAUGCUGUGAGCUCGAUGAGUAGGGCGGGACACGUGGUAUCCUGUCUGAAUAUGGGGGGACCAUCCUCCAAGGCUAAAUACUCCUGACUGACCGAUAGUGAACCAGUACCGUGAGGGAAAGGCGAAAAGAACCCCGGCGAGGGGAGUGAAAAAGAACCUGAAACCGUGUACGUACAAGCAGUGGGAGCACGCUUAGGCGUGUGACUGCGUACCUUUUGUAUAAUGGGUCAGCGACUUAUAUUCUGUAGCAAGGUUAACCGAAUAGGGGAGCCGAAGGGAAACCGAGUCUUAACUGGGCGUUAAGUUGCAGGGUAUAGACCCGAAACCCGGUGAUCUAGCCAUGGGCAGGUUGAAGGUUGGGUAACACUAACUGGAGGACCGAACCGACUAAUGUUGAAAAAUUAGCGGAUGACUUGUGGCUGGGGGUGAAAGGCCAAUCAAACCGGGAGAUAGCUGGUUCUCCCCGAAAGCUAUUUAGGUAGCGCCUCGUGAAUUCAUCUCCGGGGGUAGAGCACUGUUUCGGCAAGGGGGUCAUCCCGACUUACCAACCCGAUGCAAACUGCGAAUACCGGAGAAUGUUAUCACGGGAGACACACGGCGGGUGCUAACGUCCGUCGUGAAGAGGGAAACAACCCAGACCGCCAGCUAAGGUCCCAAAGUCAUGGUUAAGUGGGAAACGAUGUGGGAAGGCCCAGACAGCCAGGAUGUUGGCUUAGAAGCAGCCAUCAUUUAAAGAAAGCGUAAUAGCUCACUGGUCGAGUCGGCCUGCGCGGAAGAUGUAACGGGGCUAAACCAUGCACCGAAGCUGCGGCAGCGACGCUUAUGCGUUGUUGGGUAGGGGAGCGUUCUGUAAGCCUGUGAAGGUGUGCUGUGAGGCAUGCUGGAGGUAUCAGAAGUGCGAAUGCUGACAUAAGUAACGAUAAAGCGGGUGAAAAGCCCGCUCGCCGGAAGACCAAGGGUUCCUGUCCAACGUUAAUCGGGGCAGGGUGAGUCGACCCCUAAGGCGAGGCCGAAAGGCGUAGUCGAUGGGAAACAGGUUAAUAUUCCUGUACUUGGUGUUACUGCGAAGGGGGGACGGAGAAGGCUAUGUUGGCCGGGCGACGGUUGUCCCGGUUUAAGCGUGUAGGCUGGUUUUCCAGGCAAAUCCGGAAAAUCAAGGCUGAGGCGUGAUGACGAGGCACUACGGUGCUGAAGCAACAAAUGCCCUGCUUCCAGGAAAAGCCUCUAAGCAUCAGGUAACAUCAAAUCGUACCCCAAACCGACACAGGUGGUCAGGUAGAGAAUACCAAGGCGCUUGAGAGAACUCGGGUGAAGGAACUAGGCAAAAUGGUGCCGUAACUUCGGGAGAAGGCACGCUGAUAUGUAGGUGAAGUCCCUCGCGGAUGGAGCUGAAAUCAGUCGAAGAUACCAGCUGGCUGCAACUGUUUAUUAAAAACACAGCACUGUGCAAACACGAAAGUGGACGUAUACGGUGUGACGCCUGCCCGGUGCCGGAAGGUUAAUUGAUGGGGUCAGCGCAAGCGAAGCUCUUGAUCGAAGCCCCGGUAAACGGCGGCCGUAACUAUAACGGUCCUAAGGUAGCGAAAUUCCUUGUCGGGUAAGUUCCGACCUGCACGAAUGGCGUAAUGAUGGCCAGGCUGUCUCCACCCGAGACUCAGUGAAAUUGAACUCGCUGUGAAGAUGCAGUGUACCCGCGGCAAGACGGAAAGACCCCGUGAACCUUUACUAUAGCUUGACACUGAACAUUGAGCCUUGAUGUGUAGGAUAGGUGGGAGGCUUUGAAGUGUGGACGCCAGUCUGCAUGGAGCCGACCUUGAAAUACCACCCUUUAAUGUUUGAUGUUCUAACGUUGACCCGUAAUCCGGGUUGCGGACAGUGUCUGGUGGGUAGUUUGACUGGGGCGGUCUCCUCCUAAAGAGUAACGGAGGAGCACGAAGGUUGGCUAAUCCUGGUCGGACAUCAGGAGGUUAGUGCAAUGGCAUAAGCCAGCUUGACUGCGAGCGUGACGGCGCGAGCAGGUGCGAAAGCAGGUCAUAGUGAUCCGGUGGUUCUGAAUGGAAGGGCCAUCGCUCAACGGAUAAAAGGUACUCCGGGGAUAACAGGCUGAUACCGCCCAAGAGUUCAUAUCGACGGCGGUGUUUGGCACCUCGAUGUCGGCUCAUCACAUCCUGGGGCUGAAGUAGGUCCCAAGGGUAUGGCUGUUCGCCAUUUAAAGUGGUACGCGAGCUGGGUUUAGAACGUCGUGAGACAGUUCGGUCCCUAUCUGCCGUGGGCGCUGGAGAACUGAGGGGGGCUGCUCCUAGUACGAGAGGACCGGAGUGGACGCAUCACUGGUGUUCGGGUUGUCAUGCCAAUGGCACUGCCCGGUAGCUAAAUGCGGAAGAGAUAAGUGCUGAAAGCAUCUAAGCACGAAACUUGCCCCGAGAUGAGUUCUCCCUGACUCCUUGA
Molecule: ribosomal RNA, 2787 nt
Filed under: Escherichia coli
Lineage: Bacteria; Pseudomonadati; Pseudomonadota; Gammaproteobacteria; Enterobacterales; Enterobacteriaceae
Also listed under: 1 other name
Description: bacterial LSU rRNA
Rfam family: Bacterial large subunit ribosomal RNA
Source: RNAcentral